RNAcentral lists this ribosomal RNA (460 nucleotides) under uncultured bacterium. RNAcentral's name for it is "partial 16S ribosomal RNA". It matches the Rfam family "Bacterial small subunit ribosomal RNA", at positions 338 to 795 of the family's 1533-position model. The record is from RNAcentral.
CCUACGGGAGGCAGCAGUGAGGAAUAUUGGUCAAUGGACGAGAGUCUGAACCAGCCAAGUAGCGUGAAGGAUGACUGCCCUAUGGGUUGUAAACUUCUUUUAUAUGGGAAUAAAAUGUUCCACGUGUGGGAUUUUGUAUGUACCAUAUGAAUAAGGAUCGGCUAACUCCGUGCCAGCAGCCGCGGUAAUACGGAGGAUCCGAGCGUUAUCCGGAUUUAUUGGGUUUAAAGGGAGCGUAGGUGGAUUUUUAAGUCAGUUGUGAAAGUUUGCGGCUCAACCGUAAAAUUGCAGUUGAAACUGGCAGUCUUGAGGACAGUAGAGGUGGGCGGAAUUCGUGGUGUAGCGGUGAAAGGCUUAGAUAUCACGAAGAACUCCGAUUGCGAAGGCAGCUCACUGGACUGCAACUGACACUGAGGCUCGAAAGUGUGGGUAUCAAACAGGAUUAGAUACCCUGGUAGUC